GACAGAGGGUGCAAACGUUGUUCGGAAUUACUGGGCGUAAAGGCGAGUGUAGGCGGUUCGGAUAAGUCGGGGGUGAAAGCCUGUGGCUCAACCACAGAAUGGCCCUCGAUACUGGACGGCUCGAGACCGGAAGAGGUUGGUGGAAUUGCGAGUGUAGAGGUGAAAAUUCGUAGAUAUUCGCAAGAACACCAGUGGCGAAGGCGGCUCACUGGCCCGGUACUGACGCUGACGGUGCGAAAGCGAGGG
This 246-nucleotide ribosomal RNA is filed under the name uncultured bacterium. RNAcentral's name for it is "partial 16S ribosomal RNA". It matches the Rfam family "Bacterial small subunit ribosomal RNA", at positions 524 to 765 of the family's 1533-position model. The record is from RNAcentral.